GAUGAGCGCUGGCGGCGUGCCUAAUACAUGCAAGUCGAGCGAACAGACGAGGAGCUUGCUCCUCUGACGUUAGCGGCGGACGGGUGAGUAACACGUGGAUAACCUACCUAUAAGACUGGGAUAACUUCGGGAAACCGGAGCUAAUACCGGAUAAUAUAUUGAACCGCAUGGUUCAAUGGUGAAAGACGGUUUUGCUGUCACUUAUAGAUGGAUCCGCGCCGCAUUAGCUAGUUGGUAAGGUAACGGCUUACCAAGGCAACGAUGCGUAGCCGACCUGAGAGGGGGAUCGGCCACACUGGAACUGAGACACGGUCCAGACUCCUACGGGAGGCAGCAGUAGGGAAUCUUCCGCAAUGGGCGAAAGCUUGACGGAGCAACGCCGCGUGAGUGAUGAAGGUCUUCGGAUCGUAAAACUCUGUUAUUAGGGAAGAACAAAUGUGUAAGUAACUAUGCACGUCUUGACGGUACCUAAUCAGAAAGCCACGGCUAACUACGUG
RNAcentral lists this ribosomal RNA (497 nucleotides) under uncultured bacterium. RNAcentral describes it as "partial 16S ribosomal RNA". It matches the Rfam family "Bacterial small subunit ribosomal RNA", at positions 28 to 507 of the family's 1533-position model. The record is from RNAcentral.